GGAGGGGGCGAGCGUUAUUCGGAAUUAUUGGGCGUAAAGGGCGCGUAGGCGGCCUGAUAAGUCAAAGGUGAAAUCCCUCGGCUCAACUGAGGAAUUGCCUUUGAAACUGUCAGGCUUGAGGCCGGGAGGGGGUGGCGGAAUUCCCAGUGUAGCGGUGAAAUGCGUAGAUAUUGGGAGGAACACCAGUGGCGAAGGCGGCCACCUGGACCGGUUCUGACGCUGAUGCGCGAAAGCGUGGGGAGCAAACAGGAUUAGAUACCCUGGUAGUCCACGCUGUAAACGAUGGGUACUCGGUGUCGUGGGUAUCGACCCCUACGGUGCCUUAGCUAACGCGUUAAGUACCCCGCCUGGGGAGUACGGUCGCAAGGCUG
This 371-nucleotide ribosomal RNA is filed under the name uncultured bacterium. Its description in RNAcentral is "bacterial SSU rRNA". It matches the Rfam family "Bacterial small subunit ribosomal RNA", at positions 527 to 896 of the family's 1533-position model. The record is from RNAcentral.